Long non-coding RNA from Clupea harengus (Atlantic herring), 1279 nucleotides. RefSeq lists it as uncharacterized. NCBI's taxonomy places the organism in Eukaryota, Metazoa, Chordata, Actinopteri, Clupeiformes, Clupeidae. The transcript is spliced from 2 exons. The record is from RefSeq and is a predicted model, not a curated record.
UGUUAACUCAUCUUUACACCAUGGAUCUGACUUGUAAUGUGUUGAUAACUCGUCAGAAACGCUGGCUUGGUAAGAGACUACAGCUAUUGGCUACUAAACAUUGCACUAACUAAAACAGCUUGACUACUAAGGGAUUGAUACCAUCUCUCUUUUUUUCUUUUUACAAUUACAAUAUUACAUACGUAUAAUGUACAAAUAACGUUUGGGAAAAGUACAAUUUUGUCAGGACUAUAGUAGUACCACAGUAGACUUUCAGUCAAUCAACUGAAGCCAGACGGAUUAAGGACGACCCCACUCUGCAGAACCAAUCUACUCCUAUGAUACAACUGCUCAACUGCAGGCAUCAUCAGUUGAUGUUGGAAAUUCCUCGUGGGGGGGAAGAGCUGUGCGUCAUCGGAGUGCUAUUGGGGAGCGCUAUUGGGGAGCGUUCCUGGAUUGGGAUGACUCCUCUUUGGUAUGGAUUGAUCUAUUGCGGUGUUUUUUUCUGUGGAAUGUGGGGCGUGGUUUAAGUAUUGCAAACUGAUAAUACCUUUUGGGGGGAAGGCGUGUAUCUUGCUUUUGUGUGGACAUUGUGUGGGGGCUUUUAUGCUAGACAUGGUUGGCCAUUAGUGGGGUUUAUGCCUAUCCCCUAGUGGGGUUCUAUGUACAGUGGCUCUGUGCCUACAGUCCUGUUUCCAGUCUCCUUGUGGCAAAAAAACAUUUGUAUAACCAUUUCUGAUUCUGAGUGUUGUCUGUGACCUGAGUGUUGCUGUACAAGGGGGUGUUUUUAAUGACAAUCUGUGUUAAAACAGCACACUGAUAACAAUAAUAACAGUAAUGAUAAUAAUGAUGAUGUUGAAAAUAAUAAACGGGGAUGAUGCCAAUGACAACAUUAAUAAAAGUAACAUUGCAUGUUAUUAACAAGUCAAUACAAAACAAAAUACACUACAAAAACACUGAAAAUGAUGAAAAGAAAUGGAAAGAUCUGCAUGCGAUGAUCCCUUGGCAGUGGACAUUCUGGUACUUCAGGUACAGGUAUGUGGGAGAAGAAUUAAAUAAUGAUUACACAUAAAGAACACGAAUAUAUGUGUAUGAGACAUAUAUAUAAAUUUAUAUUUAUAUAUAUAUAUAGUGGGGGUGUUGAGUUAUGUGUUCUCAUCCAUUGUUAUUUGUAUUAUUUUAUGUUUCUGAUUUGUAUCCUAUUGUGUCAAUUAUACAAAUUGUAUGUGUUAUUUCCACAGUACUGGGUUCGUAUCCCGUCUGCGGGUGUGUCCAAAUAAUUAAAAACAUUCAGAAGUUU